AUAUAUAUACAUAUUAUAUAGGAGGCUCAGGGGUGACCUUAUGGAGGCUGUAGUGAGGUGGGGGUUGGUCUAUUCUCCCAUGUGCCUAACGACAGGACGAGGGGGAAUGGGCUAAAGUUGUGCCAGGGGAGGUUUAGGUUGGAUGUUAGGAAGAACUAAUUAGGAAGAACUCCCAAAAGGGUUGUUAGGCACUGGAACAGGCUGCCCAGGGAAGUGGUUGAGUCACCAUCCCUGGAGGUCUUUAAAAGGUGUUUAGAUGUAGAGCUUAGGGAUAUGGUUUAGUGGUGGACGUGUUAGUGUUAGGUCAGAAGUUGGACUACAUAAACUUGGAGGUCUCUUCCAACCCAGAUGAUUCUGUGAUUCUGUGAUUACAAAUAACUGUGUUUUUAAUGAAAGUUUUUGUGCAUCUUAAGCACCAUUUUUUUGCUAUUUACAGAAGACUGUGACCAUUUUUCUGCAGUUUAACUGCAGGUAACUCUGCAGUUGCAGCAUUUUUCACUGAGGUGACGUAUGGAAAAUGGAAGCUGAUCCUCACUGACUUUCAGCCUACAUCUCCUUUGCUUCUGCUGGCUCAAGGCGACCAGUCUCCCUAUUUUCUUCAAGGUUUCCUUGUUUUCUUCAGCUUAACACUACAGAAUGACUGCACACAUUUAACAUACCCAGAAUGGAAACAGAGCAAAAAGGCGGCAGUAGACUUGGUAUGAGUGUGUAAGUAUCUAAGUCAUCUUGGUUGUUUGCUAGAUGAAAGUGACUCAAAGCCUUCCCAAACACAUAAAACACCCUAUUUAAUGUAACACAUUUGCUGAAGAAAAAUGACUAAAGAUGGCA
Molecule: long non-coding RNA, 828 nt
Filed under: Anas platyrhynchos platyrhynchos (common mallard)
Lineage: Eukaryota; Metazoa; Chordata; Aves; Anseriformes; Anatidae
Description: lncRNA (ENSAPLG00000020059.1)
Source: RNAcentral